GAUGAAGAACGUAGCGAAAUGCGAUAAGUAAUGUGAAUUGCAGAAUUCAGUGAAUCAUCGAAUCUUUGAACGCACAUUGCGCCCCUUGGCAUUCCAAAGGGCAUGCCUGUUCGAGCGUCAUUUGUACCCUCAAGCUUUGCUUGGUGUUGGGCGUCUUGUCUCUAGCUUUGCUGGAGACUCGCCUUAAAGUAAUUGGCAGCCGGCCUACUGGUUUCGGAGCGCAGCACAAGUCGCACUCUCUAUCAGCAAAGGUCUAGCAUCCAUUAAGCCUUUUUUUCAACUUUUGACCUCGGAUCAGGUAGGGAUACCCGCUGAACUUAAGCAUAUCAAUAAGCGGAGGA
RNAcentral lists this unclassified non-coding RNA (341 nucleotides) under soil metagenome. RNAcentral's name for it is "partial contains 5.8S ribosomal RNA, internal transcribed spacer 2, and large subunit ribosomal RNA". The stretch from base 1 to 120 matches the Rfam family "5.8S ribosomal RNA", at positions 35 to 154 of the family's 154-position model. The record is from RNAcentral.